Molecule: ribosomal RNA, 497 nt
Filed under: uncultured bacterium
Lineage: Bacteria
Description: partial 16S ribosomal RNA
Rfam family: Bacterial small subunit ribosomal RNA
Source: RNAcentral
GACGAACGCUGGCGGCGUGCCUAAUACAUGCAAGUUGAGCGAUGAAGCUUGGUGCUUGCACCAAUUUGAAGAGCAGCGAACGGGUGAGUAACGCGUGGGGAAUCUGCCUUUGAGCGGGGGACAACAUUUGGAAACGAAUGCUAAUACCGCAUAAUAACUUUAAACAUAAGUUUUAAGUUUGAAAGAUGCAAUUGCAUCACUCAAAGAUGAUCCCGCGUUGUAUUAGCUAGUUGGUGAGGUAAAGGCUCACCAAGGCGAUGAUACAUAGCCGACCUGAGAGGGUGAUCGGCCACAGUGGGACUGAGACACGGCCCAAACGCCUACGGGAGGCAGCAGUAGGGAAUCUUCGGCAAUGGACGAAAGUCUGACCGAGCAACGCCGCGUGAGUGAAGAAGGGUUUCGGAUCGUAAAACUCUGUUGGUAGAGAAGAACGUUGGUGAGAGUGGAAAGCUCAUCAAGUGACGGUAACUACCCAGAAAGGGACGGCUAACUACGUG